This 465-nucleotide ribosomal RNA is filed under the name uncultured bacterium. RNAcentral describes it as "partial 16S ribosomal RNA". It matches the Rfam family "Bacterial small subunit ribosomal RNA", at positions 28 to 507 of the family's 1533-position model. The record is from RNAcentral.
GACGAACGCUGGCGGCGUGCUUAACACAUGCAAGUCGAACGGAAAGGCCCUGCUUGCCGGGUACUCGAGUGGCGAACGGGUGAGUAACACGUGGGUGAUCUGCCCUGCACUUCGGGAUAAGCCUGGGAAACUGGGUCUAAUACCGGAUAGGAGCCAUUUUUAGUGUGAUGGUUGGAAAGUUUUUUCGGUGUAGGAUGAGCUCGCGGCCUAUCAGCUUGUUGGUGGGGUAAUGGCCUACCAAGGCGGCGACGGGUAGCCGGCCUGAGAGGGUGGACGGCCACAUUGAGACUGAGAUACGGCCCAGACUCCUACGGGAGGCAGAAGUGGGGAAUAUUGCACAAUGGGCGCAAGCCUGAUGCAGCGACGCCGCGGGGGGGAUGACGGCCUUCGGGUUGUAAACUCCUUUCGCUAGGGACGAAGCUUUUUGUGACGGUACCUAGAUAAGAAGCACCGGCUAACUACGUG